This 12269-nucleotide unclassified non-coding RNA is filed under the name Gigantopelta aegis. RNAcentral's name for it is "serine/threonine-protein kinase PAK 4-like, transcript variant X3". Lineage: Eukaryota; Metazoa; Mollusca; Gastropoda; Neomphalida; Peltospiridae. The record is from RNAcentral.
GUGCCUGAAAAUGGCGUCGCGCUUGUUUAUUUGACAUACAGUUCAUUUUUUUUCAGAAUUGACUGUCUCUGGGUAGGCAAUGAACACUAAAUUACAAAAAUGCAUUUAACAAUGUGGGUCACAUAACUGAAUAUAACACAACAGGCUUGAUUCCUUUUUGGUAUCAAUGAUUUCGUGACCUACUUGAAAGGUGAUUCAUAGUUGACCAAAUCAAAACAUUCCAACUUGGAUAGCCAUCUGAAUUGAGUCAUGUUCAAGUCGAAGAAGAAACGGCCUGAAAUAUCAAUCCCUUCAAACUUUGAGCAUAGAGUACACACGGGCUUUGAUAGAGAGCAUGGGAUUUUUGUCGGAUUACCUGCGCAGUGGGCUGGUAUUAUCGGUGUCGAGAAGGAGAGACCGCGGCCCAUUAUCGAUCCUUCCAGCAUCACACAGACCGACAUUGAACCCAUGAAGACAAUAAUUCGAGGUCAUUCGACAGUUGAUAUAAAUGGCUAUCACUCUGGUUUUAAAGGCAUAAGUGUUGCUCGUUCCAAUUCGUUACGCCGUGAUAGCCCACCGCCCUACCGCAGAGGCUACCAGGGUAAUGCGAACAUCAACACGGUCCACGAAGAAGAACCAUACAAAACCCCAAACCACCACCAAGGCCAGCACCAAUACGGUCGCGACCAGCCCGACUACAAAGAGUAUUCACCGCGGAACUCGCGUGGUGACCCGGCUGAGUUUGCUGAGCACGGACGCUAUCCACAGGAGCGUGGCUACAAAGACAAUGGCUACCCACCAGACAAGGAUCAGAGAGAAGCUAGAAGAGAUUACAGAGAUCCUAAUUUCUCAGAUCGUGAGUUCCGCCACCCAAAUCAAAAAGACCCUCGAGACCAGCCUAGGGAUGAGUCGUUUGACCGCCGCCAGAUGGACUACAAUGAUCGGAGUUUCAAUAGUUCGUACGACAGGGAUCAGUACCGAGAUAACUCGUUUGAACGCGAUCCGUACAGGGACCGACAGCGGGAGAUGUCCCCAUACAACAUGGGCCCCCCACAGGAUGGGCGUGGUGGUCCACCUCACGACCCCAGUAGACAGAUGCCCAAUGGAAGCCUUCAUAACAAUCGACAGCAUCCUGACAUGACUCCAUACUCGCCCAAGAGUGCAGCGGCCAUGCAGUAUGAACGGGUGGGGCCCUCCCCAAAUAAACCCAACCAGCUCUCACCAAACCAGAUUCCUUAUCAGGGCCCUCAAUCGGCCGGUGCCAAGGGGCCACCGUCUCCCGCUAGAUCCCCAACCGGCAAGCAACCAGGCCCCAGUCCGGUUGAACAACAAACAGUUUCGCAUGAACAGUUUCGAGCAGCAUUGCAAAUGGUGGUUACGCCAGGUGAUCCUCGUGAAUUUAUUUCAAACUUUGUCAAAAUUGGUGAAGGUUCUACAGGUAUUGUGUGCAUUGCUGAUGACAGGUCAAAAGGUCAUCAGGUAGCUGUGAAGAAGAUGGAUUUACGCAAACAGCAGAGACGAGAAUUGCUCUUCAACGAGGUGGUUGUGAUGCGAGACUACCACCACCCGAACAUUGUGGAUAUGUACAACAGUUUCUUGGUGCGUGACGAGCUGUGGGUUGUCAUGGAGUUCAUGGAGGGAGGAGCACUCACCGAUAUCGUCACACAUGGCAGAAUGGAUGAGGUACAGAUCGCCACUGUGUGUAAAGCAUGCUUGAAGGCACUGGCAUUCCUGCACUCACACGGCGUCAUACACAGAGACAUCAAAUCAGACUCCAUUCUCCUCUCACAUGACGGCAAGGUGAAGUUAUCAGAUUUUGGUUUCUGCGCACAAGUAACUCAAGAACUGCAGAAAAGAAAAUCCCUCGUUGGUACGCCAUAUUGGAUGGCUCCUGAGGUUAUUUCAAGAUUACCGUAUGGCCCAGAGGUAGACAUCUGGUCGCUGGGUAUCAUGGUUAUGGAAAUGAUCGACAACGAACCCCCGUUCUUCAACGAGCCUCCACUACAGGCAAUGAGGAGGAUCAGGGACAUGCCACCACCCAAGCUGAAAAACACUCACAAGGUAUCACCACGGUUACAGGGAUUUCUCGACCGCAUGCUUGUCCGGGAUCCUACCCAGAGGGCGACAGCUGCUGAACUCUUGAACCACCCUUUCCUGCGGGAGGCUGGACCCCCCUCCUGUCUUGUCCCCUUGAUGCGUACGUUCAGAAACAGUCCAUGUUGACGGUCACACUGAUAACGCUUUGUUGGAUCAACGCUAAAGGUGUUGAGUAAGAUGAGCUAAGUACUUUGUGUUGGCUGUGUGUCUGCUUGAAAUGCACUCAUCAUAGACCAGCAGCAUUUUUCUUCCAGUCUAAUAAAGUAACUCACCAGCGAUGGUCAUUACAAUAUUCAUUAGAAAAAACAAACAGUGGUCAUUUCGUUUUCUAUAAUUUUGUACAUAUCCCAUCAGCUACUUCCCAGUAGUGCAUGUAUGAGCCAGUGCAGGCAUGUAACAUGCUUUUGAUUACAUGGAAACAAAACUGAAGUCAAACUAUGUUUUAUUUCAUAGUUGAUGUCAAAUAUUUAAAGUCUUUAUAUUCCAUCUCUCUAUGCAAUGUUUUUAGUACUUAUUGCAGCAUAGAGUCUACUUUUACUAUACAUUGCAUAGGCUGGAAUAUACCUCGAGCUUGCUGCACAAGUUAAGAUCGUUUUACGACAGCAUAUAUUGCAUGUAUAUACAUGUCUGUAAUCUGGCAACAAGCUAUAGCUAGUGUAAUAUAAUACAUCUGCAUGAUUUUUGAACAUUAUUUUGUAGGUAUUGUGUAAAAUUGUCAUGUGUUGUGUAUAAAAGAUGAUUACAGAGACCGGUCGUCGGACACUUGAGUUGGUCGGUGGUAUCAAACUGGGUUGUGCCUUUCACACAGUGUAACGAAGAAUCCAUCCACAGAUGUCUCCGCCCAACUUGUUUUCACUAUGCAGCUUUACACUCGCCGACUGUCACACACGACAGUGCGGCUUUUUAACUCGGCUUUUUUACAGCUGAACUUUCAACUGAUUUCUUAGCUCUUUUUCUCAUUAUCUUUGAAUUUUGUCAAGACAUCUUUAAAAGAAGAUUGUAAUGUUUGAAGUAUUUGAAUUGGGAUCCAUUCAAAAUAGUAAGUGUAUGAUUAGUGUGUAAAUAUAUUAUCUUGAUGGAGGUUACAAGACCUGGACAGUUGGAUGAGUUUUACAAGGAUUGUUUUGUUGCAUUAAAUUUUUGUCACUUUGUGAGUUUUCAUGAAAGUAGGUCCUAAUAUUGUCCUAUGAGAGGCUUACAAAUGUUUCUACAAAUGUUUCUACUGGAUGGAGAAAGAGAUGUUUUCGCUUGGUUAUUCCCACAUGUUUUUGUCAAAGCCAUCAUUUUACCUUCCUGUUGAUAGCACUACCCAGGAUAUGUAUAUCUAAAGGCUGUUGGUUCAACAGUGUUGACAAUUUAGGGGAUAAAAAAAAGAAACUAUUUAAAGAUUGAUUUAUUUUGCAUUUAUUGUAUUAUUGAAAAAUGCAUUUUAAAAAUAUUUCCAUGUAUGAAAAAAACAUUUCUUUGUUAGUAUUGACUGUUACUGUGAGAUUUAGAGCUGUAACGAUAUGGUGAUACAGUAUCGUAUUGCAAUACGAGGGCCACGAUACAAUACAUUCAUGUUUUAAUAAUUUUUGGUAAAAAAGUUCAAGCAGAAAACGUAAUUUCAACAUUCAGUUGAUGGAAUUCCCCUGUAAUUAAGGUGUCUAUUAAUAGUCCUCGACAUUGAUAUCUAAACGUACACCAUAGGUUUAUUUUUUGCUUACAAAAUUAAUUAAGGUUAUCAUGUUUCAUAUACUUGAACUAAACAAUUAAUUAUCGAUAAUUGAUAUGAAAAGUUAAGUAUCACAAUAUAACCCAAGUAUCAGUAUACGUAUCAUAUCGUGAUCUCCCGCAUCGUUACAACUCUAGUGAGACUGUUUCUCAGAAUUAUAAUAGUGAUUACUUUUGAGUAAUGUUGAUAGAUGUGCCUAGACUCUGGUUGUUAUACGAAGAACAACAUGUUGCUGGGCCGACUGUUGCUGUGUCAUUCUGGAAACCUACCUCAGACUACUCCGCAAACCAAAGCUUUAUAAAGACACUUAAAACCAGAGUUUAAGGACCACCGAGAUGUGGGAAGGGGUUUGGGGGAAGUGGUCAAACCAGCAUAAAAUUAUUUGCGUUGCUUAGAUUGGUUUUUUCAUUUGAGAUGGUAUUAUUUUAAAGGCAGUGUGCUAGAUGGCACUCCUCUAUCCCAAUGUUUCAUACUGUUAAAAAAUUAAGACCCCCCCCCCCCCCCCAAUCCCACCACCCACCCCCAGUUCCAAGUGAAAGUGUGGAACUAUCACUUUUCAUGAUUAGUAGCACAAACUUGGCCAAUGUAUAGAAACAUAUAUAUAUAUAUUAUUAAUAAGACUCCAUCAUAUGUGGUCAUGUGGGAUAGAAAAAGUACACCCGAGGUGGUGGAAAUUUCAACUUGGGAAGAGGCUUGCCGAGUCCCAGGGUUGAAAUUUCCACCACGGAGGGUUUACUUUUUCUUUCCCACAUGACUGCAUACAAUGGGAGUCUUUUUCUCCCAUUUAUUCGAUAAAUAAACCAUUAUUUUACACGAACAAACAAAGAUGGCUGAAAAAGUAACUUCUUUAUUUGACAGUUUUAUCAUAAAUAAUCUAUACUUUUUCAUGUGUUAAAUACAUUUUAACACUACAGAUUAAUAAGCUUUUAUAAUGAAGGUUUUAAUAACAAAAUAUCGAUCUAAAACUAACCAACUCGCAUUAAUAUGACAUCCUAUAUUACCAAUGCCGUAUUACUCCCCAUGUUAAACUCAGUGACGUCGUAGCCUAUACAAGACAGUUGUUUCUUAUGGGCUGACGUUAUAUAUAUAUAUAUAUAUAUAUAAUCUGUUCCUCUCAUUCCAUUAAUACAAAUUAAAUAUAUAUUUGUUAGUUGAACAUUUAUCUUGCUUGUUAUCACUUAAAAUUGAGAAGUUCAUUUUCAAAACACAAUGUACACCAAUUUCUAACUUUGUGAGUUAGCUGUGAAGGUGCACUGUAUACUAUAGUACAAAUCAGCAAUAUGACACUAGUUUCUAUCAAAACACAACCUAAGCCCAUUAAACACAAUCUUAAUGCUGUUUUGUCUUGUAUAUGCUAUCGAUAUAUCACAUUUUGGAAAUAGACUAUUAAAUUACUAAUCACUAUUACUGUAAAACGGGUACUUUUCACAAUUUCAUAUAAAGUUUAUUUUGCUGUUUGUGAUUUUCGUGGAUGCCAAAAAACUAAUUUUAAAAAACGAUUUUAAAAACUAUUAUGAUUUAUUGUUUUACACACAUUAAAGUUAUCUAUUCACUAUUUACAUUUAUGGUAGAUGCAAGAAAAUCAUUCUUUAUUUUAUUCCUUAACUGUUUUGUGAAAUUAAGACCUUGACCCUUAUGCCAGUUUCAGUCUAGUCUUUAUAAUUAAGGUCUUAAUUAUUUGUAUGAAUGUGAUUUUCAGAGUUGACUUACAGAUGUAUAAAUUGUGUACAAAAAGUACCUGUUUUAUAGUAUAUCAUCACAUACUCAUUGGAAAUUAUGUAAAUACCUGUCCAUUGCUUCUGUGUAUUUACCUAAUUAAAGACAUUUAACAAAAUAUUGGUUAUAAUACUUUAAAUAUAAAUUUCAUGUAUGUGUUUUGCACUUUUCCUUAAAAAGAUUGGAAAUGAAAUAUUUUGCUACUAGCAGUUAUAUUAAAUUUGGUGCUUUACUUUGGAAUUCGAAUAGGUAUUGUGUAAUUGUUACAAACCACAGUAUGCUUAAGACACACAAAUAUUCUUGAAAACUGCAAGGCACAUUACAAGCUGUAUCAUGUUCAUAAUAGUGUGUAAUAUAUGUUUACAUAUGGCUGUAUAUUAUGAAUAACAAGUGCUUUGAAUCAUGUAUCCAUUACAGGUGUGAACAUGGUCAUUUCUGUUACAUUUCCUAUUUAACUGAAAAUUUACAUUCGUUAUCUAUUUCCGUUGUGGAAAAUAACAAGUGAUGGCUGAGGUGAGUUAAGAAUAUAGGAACUUGUCUUAAGUAUUAAUUCCUCGUUACUUAGGGUUUGCACUGCCAUUCACUGAAUUUGCCAAUUGCACAUUUCUGUAAUAAAUAUUUAUUUAAAAUGUUUCAGUUAUAUGAAAUAGAUUAUGGAAGUGGUUUAAGAUCAUUGGUCUGUGAAAGUACUGUGGAUACAUUGCAGUUUUCCUACCAGUGUUAAAACAGUAACAAUCGCUUACGUCUGUGAUGUUGGAAAGUACCGGGUAGAUCAUGCUUGCCCACAAUUGUUUUUGUUUUUCAGCAUGAAACACAAUACUACAAUAUCUCCGUCUGAAAUGUUGUUUCACACAAAUCUAUUGAAAAUUAAAUUAGUCAUUAAUUGUUAGUGUACUACAGUAAUUUAAUAUUUUUAUUUUUAUUAUUAUUUUAAUAAAAAGUAUUUACUUGUUACUAAUACUUGUAUUAAAUGAAUGUUCAUGUCAUGAAAUUGAAAUAUUUCAGUUACAUGUUGAAAUAGUGAAUUUAUGAAUUGAAAUUUGAAGUUGUAGACAUAUUAAAAUUAAACUACUAGUAAUAGACAAGUUUUAACUGGUUAUUAUACAGCCAGGUCUAUCUUCAGCUGGAUUUUGGCGGAGAGAUUUGGGUCUCAUCAGGCAGCCAUUUUUGUUCUUCCAUACAUUUGAACAAGCCUAUGUUCAGCCAGCAGCUUUUCACUAACGUUUCCUAACCUUUUUUCACUGGUUUUUAAAGUAGUCAUUCAGUUUAAUGUGUUGGGUAAAAAAGUCGAGCAAGUGUUAGCGACAAACGGUUGAAUGAACGUGGCCCAAUUUUUCAUCAAGCUAAUUUUUAACGCCCUCUGAUGUGAAGUGUUAUUUUAUUUUUACAACUUCAAAAAAUUAACGGGGAAAAAUGCUUACAAACUGCCAAAAAUUAUUUUUAUUUGGAAAAGUUUAAUAUAAAAAGUAUUUCUUAAAACAUGUUUGAUUAUUUUGUACAGUUUUUAUAAAUAGUCAUUUCAUAAAUAUGCCACAAGGAACAAAGUACCUGUUUUAUUUUUAUAACAUGAAACUUAUGACAAGCAUAUUUAAUGUGAGACUUGUAGGUAGUAAGGCAAUAUGUCGCCAUGGUGAUGAUUACAGAUUCUCUCCUCUUGUCUUCUCUUGCAUUCCUUCACUUUAACUCUUUAAUUCCAAGACAUGCAUUUUGUUUGUGCUUACAGUGCUAGGUACUGUUAACUCUUUAAUUCCAAGAUAUGCCUUUUGUUUGUGCUUACAGCGCAAGGUACUGUUAACUAUUUUAAAAGGUAACCCGAGUUAUCGUUCCUUGAAGCCUUGUGAAAUACUGUUCACCUGUUCAAUGUACAUACCGGUUUUAGUUAGCUGUAGCUGGGCAGGUAGCUGGCACUGCUUGAUGGAUGUCAUGAAUUAACAUGCUAGUUAGAGACAGAUCAAUAGCAUAACUAUAUUUUUAUACAGGGAGUCAGAGUUGUAUUAUAGUGUACAGAGUCUAACCAAAUGAUAGUGAACAUGUGGUUUUUGACUGUGUUGUUGACUGGUGCACUGGUCGUCACAGUUAGACCUACCUGUACAGGAUAUUGUUUUCUUUGUAAGUAGUGUAGGUCGGAAAUGUUGUUGACUGGUGCACUGGUCUUCACAGUUUGACCUACCUGUACAGGAUAUUGUUUUCUUUGUAAGUAGUGUAGGUCAGAAAUCUUGUUGACUGGUGCACUGGUCAUCACAGUUUGACCUACCUGUACAGGAUAUUGUUUUCUUUGUAAGUAGUGUAGGUCGGAAAUGUUGUUGACUGGUGCACUGGUCUUCACAGUUUGACCUACCUGUACAGGAUAUUGUUUUCUUUGUAAGUAGUGUAGGUCGAAAAUGAAGACAAAUGGUUAUUCAUAUAAACCUUGAUUGUUGUGUCUAAUAUUUGUCAGAUGUGUGUACUGCUGAUAGACCAGCGGAACAAGUGGCUAUUUAUUUUUAAAACAAAGAAUGAAUUUCCACACUGUUGUAAGGUCAUAUUGUUUUUGAAAUUUUGUAAAGCUGUACAAAGCCCAAGCUCCAAUACAGCUUGUUGUGAGACCAGACAUACCAUUGAGUAAGAAUUCAGUGGAAGCUAUGGUUUUUGGUUAAUGUAUUUGAGACAUCGCUUAAUUCAAUGACAAGUAUAACAUGCCAGAUAUUGCCAGUAUUGAAACAUCAUAACAUUUGUGAGCAGUGUAAUUUAACGUGUGAGCAAUAUAACAUCAUGUGUGAGCAAUACACAUUGUAUUUAUUACUGGUUGACAAUGUAAUAUUCCAUUUAUCACUGGUGAGUCAUGUAAUAUACAUUUUUCACUGGAGAGCAGUGUAAUAUUUCAUUUAUCACUGGUGAGCAAUAUGAUAUUCAUAUAUCACUGGUGAGCAGUUGAUAAGAAAUGUAUUUCUUUUAUCACUGGUGAGCAAUGUAUUAUUCCAUUUAUUAUUAGUGAGCAAUGUAAUAUUCAAUUUAUAACUGGUGAGCAAUGUAAUACUUAUAUUACCGUCGGUGACUAAUGUAAUGUUUAAUUUAUCACUGGUGAGCAAUGUAAUAUUUCAUUUUUCAUUGGUAACUAAUGUAAUAUUCAAUUUAUCACUGGUAACAAUUGUGCUAUUUUUUAACUGGUGAGCAAUGUAAAAUUUAAUUUUUCACUGGUGAGCAAUAUAUUUCAUUUAUCAUUGGUGAGCAAUAUAAUAUUUCAUUUAUCACUUGUGAGCAAGGUAAUUUUUUCACUGGUGAUCAAUCUAAUAUUUUUCAGUGGUGAGCAAUGUAAUACUGUAAAUCGUAAAAUAUUAGAGAUCUUAAAAUUUAGCAAAAUCAAAAUAAGUGACAUUUUAAUGACAUAAUUUUAGCGAGGUAGCCACAUCAGAAACUAAAAAAAGAAUAAGCUUAAGUUGUAGAGAGACAUCUUGAAGUUAGUUGAAAAUGGCAGUAAUGUGCAUGCUAACUAUUGUUUUUUGCUAUAUUUUGGUUUAAUCAAUACUAUGUAACCAUUGUUGUGCCUUCAGUUAAUCACAGACAAAACAAUUGCACAGAAAUAUUUUGGAACAAUCUGUUGUAUGUCUCUUUAAAUUUAGAGUCAUGAAAUAUUAGUGUGUAUGACCUCACAAAAUUUGCUAACAUUUUAUGCUCGCUAACAUUUCCUAAUUUACAGUAUUUUAUUUAUCACUAGUGAGCAAUGUAAUAUUCAAUUUAUAACUGGUGACCAAUGUAAUAUUUCAUUUAUCACUGGUGACCAAUGUAAUAUUUCUUUUAUCACUGGUGACCAAUGUAAUAUUUCUUUUAUCACUGGUGAGCAAGGUAAUAUUUCAUUAUCACUGGUGAGCAAGGUAAUAUUUCAUUUAUCACUGGUGAGCAAGGUAAUAUUUUAUUUAUCACUGGUGAGCAAGGUAAUACUUCAUUUAUCACUGGUGAGCAAGGUAAUACUUCAUUUAUCACUGGUGAGGUAUGAACAUCUUGCAUGGUACCAGCCACGUAUACAGUAUGCAAUCAUCAUUGUUUGUUUUGUCAAUACACUGAUGUUAUUUUUGUCAUGUCCGUUGAUAUUAUUUGUUUUAUUUGAAUUGUAUUUAAGUGUUAGAUACACUAUAUAAUACACUGGUGGAUUUUGUAUCUCACUGUUAAUAGAUAGAUAUGUAUUAGUACACAUAUUCCUUUCAUCUGUAUAUAUACCCCGUUACAUAUACAUAUAUACAGGUGCAUGCAGGUAUAUGCUGGUUGAAAUCAAAGACAAAGUUUGCUUCAAAAUUUUAUAAAGUGCUUAUGUUUGUGUUAUCACAUUUCCUUUUCAUGCUGCAUCAUUUUCUGUUUUUAUUUAACAUAUUCAGUAUAGAUGGUAAGACUUGUCAAAACCAAGCCGUUUGUCAUAACAUUUAAUAGCCAUUUAAUAGCUUGAAUUUUAUUAGAAACAAUUAAUUUCUCAAAAACUGUCUAUAAACAAAUAUAUAGCUAAAUAAGGAAAUAUUGACAGUUUGAUUAAUUGGAAGCAGAUGUUUUAUACAAUAUUUAUAAACGUCACAGUCAUCUAUGAAUUUAUGAAAUAAAAACUUAAUGCAAAUUACCAAGACAGUUAACUGUGAUCUCACUGGACACUAAAUUUUCAGGUGAUGUCAGUCUUUGUGUAAUUAUUAUUUCUAGCUACAAUGUGUGUGAUUUUACACCAUACGUUUACAGUGCACUCUCAAUAGCAACAGUACAUUAUUUGUAAAUAGACAUAUUAAUUUGGAUUCCUACAUUGUAUUGUAUGGAAACUUCUACAAAUAUUAUUCCGGUCUGUGUGUGUGGAUUUGGCUGGUAGAUAAACGACUGACAAACAGCAGACAUUCUGUGUAGUAUUCUUCCCAACUGUGUAACAGGUGUAUUAAUAGGUAAUCAUGGGCCGUAGAUACAAAUAUACUUCACACUAGGGUGUAUGUAUUCGUAGACUCCAUGCAUAUUCGGUUACACGUAUCAACUUAUGCAUGUGUAUUAUCAUUGAGCAUUGUACAAAGCCCUUUUAUACAAGUGUAUUAUAUCUGUGAAGCAUAUAUUGGCAUACAUUUAAAGUUUUUUAAUGUUCCAAGUCGUCUUCAAUCAUGACAUUUUCCUGGGCUGGUUAAAGUCAUUCCAUUUAUCAACAUAUUUGUGAGUAAGUAAGGUAACAACGCUGUUCAAGGCUUGUCACUACUAGUAAAGAUGAAAUCUUAAAGGUAUUUUUAAUAUAUAAACAAUUAGUACUAAUGUGUAUUUUUUUAAAUGCAUUUUUAAAAAUUAAAUAAGGCAUUCAUUAAAAUAAUUAAAAACUUAAUAAUAAUUGUCUAGAGUGAGAUGAAACUGGACAAAAUGAAGCACUGCGAUGGGGAUGUUGUACAAUGAACUAAACGGUGACAUAGUUUACACAUCACCACAGCUGUUGGUGUCUGUUGAUACAGAAACUAAUGGGGAGAUGAGGUUAUGGUUAUUCAAAGCACUGGAGUGAUACAUACUGUAGUAGUACUGAAUGUGUAGGCCAUUCCACCCACGAUGAGAGAUUUAUAGUCAUUCAGUCUUGGAUACUGCUAGUAAUUCUUUCUGUGAGAGUAUAAUUUACCAUGCAGAAUAGCUAUGUCGUAUAGUACAUUUAGCCAGGUUUUUAGUGCUCACUUUACUUAGGUAUCUGUGACGUCUUCGUUCCGAUUACAAUAUGCAAAUGAACAAAUGUGACAGCUGUGAUAAUAGACCAUUAUUCAUCUAUUAAAUAUCUACGCCCGUGUAAUCACUAUUAGGCCAUGCUGGAUUAUUUCUGUGUUUGGGUCUGCAUACAUUUAUCUUUCAGUAUCUAAAACUUAUUUUAAUACCCAUUUUAAAUAAUAGAAAUGUAAUUAGUUUUCCUUUUACAGAUGAUGAAUAGAUGUAUCUUGUAUGAUCACUAUACUGUGGAAGAGGUAAAGAUAUUUAAUGUGUAGCAACACAGCUGUCUAACCUAAAGAUGUUUUCUUAAGAUGAUUAUAUUGUAUGAUCUAACACUUGGUGAAGUUGAAUGUGGAACUUUCAGUUGAUAUAAGAACUAAACUAACGAACUCGUGUCCAGUUAUCACGGCAGUUAGUCAUUAGAUCUUACACAGAACCCGAUUAUUAUAUAGCUGUGAAAAGUAGCUAUUUCCAAUUACAAUACACUGGAGACACUAAAAUGAUGUUUUCACGCAAUGUGGCUUAAAGGCCUGCAUGUUUAUUGGUCAUCUUAGCCAGUGUCUGAUUUUAUAUUGGGGAUUUCCAUUCAUUGUUUGGCAAUGAACAAAUAAUUUUAAAAAUUAUUGAAAAGUUCUUGUAAUGGAUUUAUUGAUAUUAAAUAAACAUUUGUGAUAUAAAUAUAAAAUAUUCUGCACUUUAGAUUAGAUCCAUAGGGAUUUUUUUUUUAAAAACCCCACCAAUAAAUACAGUCCGCAUUAACGUUUUGACCAUACCGUAGGUCUUUAUGUAAUUAUAAUUUUGACAAAGGCUAUGGCGAAACGUGAACUAGAGGGUGGUCACUGGAUUGGUCAGACUAUUCAACCGAAGAUAUUCCACUUUGUUUUUUAAAUGAUCAGUUCCGAUACUAGCUCUUGGGCUAUGCUUAUUGGCUGUUUGCGAGUCGCUCAACUGGUUGUGUUUUAGUGUACAUUCAGUAAAUCAUUGUAUAAUAGCAGUGGUGAUAGAACCCAUUUUACUCGUCUUGUGAAAUAUUAACUAUAUAUAAAUAUAUUAUACAUUAUCAGAAAUAAACAUAUUUGUAUGUUUCAGUAAA